This 253-nucleotide ribosomal RNA is filed under the name uncultured bacterium. Its description in RNAcentral is "partial 16S ribosomal RNA". It matches the Rfam family "Bacterial small subunit ribosomal RNA", at positions 524 to 776 of the family's 1533-position model. The record is from RNAcentral.
UACGCAGGGGGCUAGCGUUGUCCGGAUUUAUUGGGCGUAAAGAGCGUGUAGGCGGCCAGGUAGGUCUGGUGUGAAAACUCGAGGCUUAACCUCGAGAUGUCAUCGGAAACCAUCUGGCUAGAGUCCGGAAGAGGAGAGUGGAAUUCCUGGUGUAGCGGUGAAAUGCGUAGAUAUCGGGAGGAACACCAGUGGCGAAGGCGACUUCCUGGCCUGUUCUUGACGCUGAGGCGCGAAAGCUAGGGGAGCAAACGGG